Molecule: long non-coding RNA, 4223 nt
Filed under: Homo sapiens (human)
Lineage: Eukaryota; Metazoa; Chordata; Mammalia; Primates; Hominidae
Description: HSALNT0001636
Source: RNAcentral
AAGCCUUUGGCUCCCCUGAGAUGCCAAAUAGCCGCUCACUCUUCCGCCUCCACGGACUGGCUUUGGUGUUCAUGCUGGUUGGGAUGUCUACUAUGGACCUGCUGAGCACAGGGCUGGGUUCCUGGGGCACAGAGUUGAUGCUUAUGGCCCAGGAACUGCUGGGCCCCAGGACUGGGCGGUUUCCAUGGUUGCUGCCACAGAAGCAGCAUUGCUGGAGUCAGUAGUGUGGCUGCCUUGCCAUGGCCGUGGUGGGUCUGCCUGGGGGUAUCUCAAUCCCGCAGAGUGCCAGGCAACCACUCCAGCCUGCUGUUGAAGGCCCCUGGCCACCCCUGGGUAAGUAAAAGAUGUCAUUUGGCGGUGUGGCAGCGAAGGGGGAGCCAGGCAGAGUACGAGCAAGAAGGUAGUGGCAGGGGGUCGAGGAGGGUGCUAGAAACUGAGUCUGAGGUUCUUAGAUUGGCUCUGCUCUGUGACCUGAAGAAAGCCGCACAACCUCUCUGAGCUUUGAUUUCCUCGUGUGAAACGAGGCUAGCAAUUGUGCAGGAGACAGUGUCUCCAGAUGAGUGCUCUGUAAAUUGAUAACAUGUCAUAAGACUUCUGCAAUUAUGUUAUUUAGCAGUCAAAAUUGGCUAACGGUUUCCGUAGGACUUUUAAGUGAAACUAUAAAGGCAGUGGCAAUUGAGUAAAGAGUUCCCCGUGGUUUUUGACUGUUUCAAGCUAUUACCUAUUAUUUGCACAGAGUUCCAGAAGUUUAAGAGACACACACAAAAUUAUCCAACCCAGAAGAAGAGUGCACUUCCAGGGACAAUUUAAGCAUUCAGCUGGUAGCAGUAAAGCACCUGCUGCAAGCCAAGUGCGUGGAUAGGAGCUGUGGUUACAACCCUGGAUGGGCCAGACAUUAUCCUCCUCUCACGGUGCUAGUGGUGACUGGCAAGGGAGCUGACUUCACAGCAUGAGGGCCACCUGGAAGGUAACCUGUCUCAGGUGGCAGGUUGGGGACUUGGGGCCAACCAGAUUUCUCCUCCUUUCUGUGUCUGUUCCCCUCCAUGAAAUGAAGAGUUUAAGAACCAGGGUGUUAUCUAACCACAUCACCCUGCUUCCAUAUUCAGACCCAGGGUCUGAAAGAAAUGAGAUGGAGACAAAAUGAAAGCAGAAGGUUGGAGGAAUGAAAUUCACAAUAAAACCUACAAUCUGCUCCUUGACCAAAAUGAUAGCUCAGGCACGCUGAGCACUCACUAUGGGCCAGGCGCUGUGCUAAGACCUUCACGUACUUCAUCUCACUCUGCCCUCUCAACAGCCGCAUUUUCCAGUUGACAGACUGAGGCUUGGAGAUGUCACCCUGCCCAGGGUCAAACGGCUAGUAAGUGGUAGAGCUGGGAUUCAGACCCCAGGGUGUCUGACUGUGGAGACUGCAAGGUCAGCUCUGCUCUGUUGCCUCAGCAGGUCUAUUCCUUGGAUUGAAAGAGCUCGCUGCAGUCUGAUUUCCCACAGAACAGUAGCAUGGAAAGAGUGGAGGAAGGCAGGGGAAAAUUCCCAGGCUGGUAGCUGGUGUUCUAUCUGCAAGGCUGCCUUAGCUCAAGCGGCCCCAGCCUCCGGGCAGCUGGUGGGAAGGUAAACUGCUGAAACUGAAGAUUUGCAAAACCCACCAUGCUCCAGUUAACGAGCCUCUUGGAAAACCUCUCUGAAGGUUCCUGGCAGUGUCCCUGUGGGAGCCAGCUCAUGUAUUUUAAGACAAAAAAAAAAUCAUUAAAGAAGUUAGGACUCUGGAGUGGCCGUAAAUGUAAAAUAUUGGUGGUUCGACAGUGUAUCCCUAGCAGCCGUAGGCAGAGUUCAUCUUGAUGAGCCAGAACCAUGUCCAAGAAAUGAAUCAUUUUGUUUUCCUCAGAGGGCUCCCCCUGAAUCUUCCCAGGCCGUCUGCUCCAAAGUUUUUAACUUGCCCACCUAGCUCAGGACCCACUAAGACCACGACUGCUCCUAGCCAGGAAAGGGAAUAGGGUUGGCAGAAUUGUAGAGCAAGCUGGGCCCCAAACACUUCUGGAACGGUGCCUGAGAGAUUCCAUUUUCCAGAUGGCCCCCAAGCCUUCCCUUACUUUGGUUGUUGGUAACCAUAACUGUCACACCAAAGGCACUUGUCUUCAUGACAUUCUGGAGGAGGGAGGUCAUGGCAUGUGGCACCUCUUAGGCACUCCGUGAGUGCUUGUGGAUGGUGGGGGCAAACACAUGGUUUGCAUGGUUUGGGCCUCCCACAUAUGGCACCUGCUUGUCUCUUUGGCUGAUGGGUGUCUUGGUUUCCCUUUGCCCAGCAAAGGUGGUACCACCAUCCAGCCAAUCUUUUAUUCUGCUCCCUCUUUCAUUUGGUGAACCAUAGUGAGGAUCCAGAUCUAGAGGAUUUAAAGUGUUGGGGACCCCCUGCCAGCUCAGAUCAAAUUUAAAGGUGUUGGGGACCCCCACCUGCCUCAGAUCAGAUUAAAGUCAGUGGCAGCCCAGGCCAGGAAUUGAGGCUAGAGGGGGGAUUUCCAAGGUCCCGCCCUAGCCCCCAGCUCCCACAUCCAGGGUGACUUCCAACAAACCACCUGACCCCUCCCCAUCCCCUCUUCCCAGCUUAGAGGCGGGGAGGGUGACAUUGAGCUUCGGCUCUGGGGCGUCCUAAGGGUUAACUAAUUAAUGGUCGGAAAGUGCUUUGAAAAAAUAAAGUGCUGGAUAAUGGGAAGGGCAAUUAUGUUGGGAGAAACUCCUAAUUUGGCUGGAAUUGAUGUUAAUGAUAAAGUAUCUGAAACAUGUAGCAAGCAAGCGUGAUUGUAUUUUAUAUGACAGAGAGAGACACUUACACGCAGGGGACACGGACAGCGGUUAAUUUGGUUAAAUAAAGUGAAAGAUAAAAGGAAUGCGGACACCGCAGGACUCGCUGUUUAUCCGGACUCAAUGUAACACUUUGCAAUUGGAUCGGGGCGCUUUGACUCUUAUUUAUUUGUUUGUGAUGAAAAUAAAUGGGAAAGUGCCAGUUUUAUGGCUUAAAAGGAGAUGGUAGAAAGUAGAAUCCAAGAAGGAGUCCCAGGGCUUCCGACGAGGCAGGCUCAGGCUGCGUUCCCAGGAAGGAGAACAAGGUCUCCGAGAGAGUCAAGGUGGGUGAGGACAUCCUCACUCCACCCCACCGGAGCUGGGGGAAUCUCAGAGGGCAACCAACAUAGCUCUCACCUUCCAGAGGGAGAAACUGAGACCCAGGAAAGGGAGAGGGUAUACGACUGAGUAUAGGAGCCAGCAUUAACUAAGCAAUUCUGUUCGCUAUGAUCAGAUGAGAUGUUAUGAUCCCAUUUAAUCCCUAAAGCAAGCGUAUGAGGUGGGUACCAUUUUCACUGCCAUAUUACAGAAGAAGAAACAGAAGCUCAGAGAGGUCAAGCAAGGAGCCCAAGAUCACACAGCCAGGAAGUGGUGGAGCAGGGCGUUGGGCUCGGGCAGCCUGACUCUGGGAGGAAAACUCCACGAAUGGUGACUUUGGGACUAAGCCAAUGCUCUUAAUAUUCAUGUCCCUCUUCUCCUUGACUACGUUCUGCUGAACAGGGAACCAGGAGAAGGAAGUGAGGAGACUCUUGUCCCAGUCCAGGAAAGACUGAAUGGGGCUGCCCAGGGUGAUAGGGAUGCCUGGUCUGGGACCAGAGCAAUGGCAGGGGUUUGAGCCCUAGUUUGGGGCCCCAGAGGACAGCAUGAAUUUGCCCCAAGGAAGAACAGGAGACUUGGUUUCUGGAAGGUCUGUGAGGUCCCCGCAGGUCCAUAUUAGUAUUCAGUAUUUAUAAUAUUUCCAUAAUGGUAAAACAAAAGAAAACAAGCAGAGAGAAUGCAUUUUUAAUCACCAAUCAUUUCUCUUUGUUUGUUGUGAAUGAACAGCGAGGUGAAAUAGUAUUUCAUAAUCACCCCAUUCGAAUUUUCCUCCCCACGAAGCGCCGAGAAAUCUCUAAAUAAAAUAAAUAAACAAGCCAAGACCUUAAAAUAAAUUCCAGAGGGUAAAGUGCUACGUGUGGGUUAUCACAGCUGCGGGGAGGCUGGGGCUGGGAGGUGGGGAAGGGAGGACAAAGGGCCAGGGGCCUUGUCAGUUAUCAGGAAUCGGAUCCCCCAGAUCCAGAGACUGACAAGGAAGGGCAGAAGAUCAGAGGAAUGGUUUGAAGAUCUGCAGCAGCAUGGAGCUGGAACAGACUCCCCCCUACUUCAUUUCUUCCUUCUUUUUCUUUCAG